RNAcentral lists this ribosomal RNA (506 nucleotides) under uncultured bacterium. RNAcentral describes it as "partial 16S ribosomal RNA". It matches the Rfam family "Bacterial small subunit ribosomal RNA", at positions 30 to 523 of the family's 1533-position model. The record is from RNAcentral.
AUUGAACGCUGGCGGCAGGCCUAACACAUGCAAGUCGAACGGUAACAGGAAACAGCUUGCUGUUUCGCUGACGAGUGGCGGACGGGUGAGUAAUGUCUGGGAAACUGCCUGAUGGAGGGGGAUAACUACUGGAAACGGUAGCUAAUACCGCAUAACGUCGCAAGACCAAAGAGGGGGACCUUCGGGCCUCUUGCCAUCGGAUGUGCCCAGAUGGGAUUAGCUAGUAGGUGGGGUAACGGCUCACCUAGGCGACGAUCCCUAGCUGGUCUGAGAGGAUGACCAGCCACACUGGAACUGAGACCCGGUCCAGUCUCCUACGGGAGGCAGCAGUGGGGAAUAUUGCACAAUGGGCGCAAGCCUGAUGCAGCCAUGCCGCGUGUAUGAAGAAGGCCUUCGGGUUGUAAAGUACUUUCAGCGGGGAGGAAGGGAGUAAAGUUAAUACCUUUGCUCAUUGACGUUACCCGCAGAAGAAGCACCGGCUAACUCCGUACCAGCCGCCGCAGUAA